RNAcentral lists this ribosomal RNA (427 nucleotides) under uncultured Pigmentiphaga sp. RNAcentral describes it as "bacterial SSU rRNA". It matches the Rfam family "Bacterial small subunit ribosomal RNA", at positions 355 to 774 of the family's 1533-position model. Lineage: Bacteria; Pseudomonadati; Pseudomonadota; Betaproteobacteria; Burkholderiales; Alcaligenaceae. The record is from RNAcentral.
UGGGGAAUUUUGGACAAUGGGGGCAACCCUGAUCCAGCAAUGCCGCGUGUGCGAAGAAGGCCUUCGGGUUGUAAAGCACUUUUGGCAGGAACGAAACGGUGCCGGAUAAUACCUGGCGCCACUGACGGUACCUGCAGAAUAAGCACCGGCUAACUACGUGCCAGCAGCCGCGGUAAUACGUAGGGUGCAAGCGUUAAUCGGAAUUACUGGGCGUAAAGCGUGCGCAGGCGGUUCGGAAAGAAAGAUGUGAAAUCCCAGGGCUCAACCUUGGAACUGCAUUUUUAACUCCCGAACUAGAGUAUGUCAGAGGGGGGUGGAAUUCCACGUGUAGCAGUGAAAUGCGUAGAUAUGUGGAGGAACACCGAUGGCGAAGGCAGCCCCCUGGGAUAAUACUGACGCUCAUGCACGAAAGCGUGGGGAGCAAACA